GGGAACUGCAACAAUCACAGCCAGCCAGGCCCACAAGCAUCUUUCCUGAGACAAAGACUUGUCUUUUGCAGAACAUAUUUCUGUAGCUUCCUGCCACCUCCUUCCCUUGUUUGGUCAUCCCAGCUCUCAAUUCACUCCCUUUAACUGAAAGCGGGAUUUUGGAGAUGAGCCUCACGCCGGACUGCACACUCUCCUUGGCCCCUGACCUCUGUCACUUUGGCAC
Long non-coding RNA from Balaenoptera acutorostrata (minke whale), 223 nucleotides. RefSeq lists it as uncharacterized. NCBI's taxonomy places the organism in Eukaryota, Metazoa, Chordata, Mammalia, Artiodactyla, Balaenopteridae. The transcript is spliced from 3 exons. The record is from RefSeq and is a predicted model, not a curated record.